UGUGUCAAAACAUGAAUGUAGCUAACUUCGCGAAUGUUAUUCUUAUGUGGUCACAAGUCAGAAGAAUUAAACAAAAAACAUGAAAAGACCAAUUCCAACAAGUACAUUACUUAGGUUUCCUAUUUUAUUUGGAAGUUUCCUAGCAAUUGCAAGUCUAGGACUGAUAUAUAAGGAAUCUUGGAUUGGUGACAUUGAAAAAAGUAGAAGUGAAAUUUUCGAUAAAAGUAAUAUGGAAAAUAAUCCGAUUGAGACAUUUAAAAGAGAUAUUGCAGCAAAACGAUAACAAAUAAAUUAAGAAUUUUUGAUGCUUAUUGAAUAGUUAGUAGUGAAAUAAAUGUAAUUUAUAACGUAAAA
This is a long non-coding RNA of Tribolium madens (black flour beetle), 354 nucleotides long. RefSeq lists it as uncharacterized. The record is from RefSeq and is a predicted model, not a curated record. NCBI's taxonomy places the organism in Eukaryota, Metazoa, Arthropoda, Insecta, Coleoptera, Tenebrionidae. The transcript has 2 exons.